Molecule: ribosomal RNA, 445 nt
Filed under: Campylobacter jejuni
Lineage: Bacteria; Pseudomonadati; Campylobacterota; Epsilonproteobacteria; Campylobacterales; Campylobacteraceae
Description: bacterial SSU rRNA
Rfam family: Bacterial small subunit ribosomal RNA
Source: RNAcentral
UUUAUGGAGAGUUUGAUCCUGGCUCAGAGUGAACGCUGGCGGCGUGCCUAAUACAUGCAAGUCGAACGAUGAAGCUUCUAGCUUGCUAGAAGUGGAUUAGUGGCGCACGGGUGAGUAAGGUAUAGUUAAUCUGCCCUACACAAGAGGACAACAGUUGGAAACGACUGCUAAUACUCUAUACUCCUGCUUAACACAAGUUGAGUAGGGAAAGUUUUUCGGUGUAGGAUGAGACUAUAUAGUAUCAGCUAGUUGGUAAGGUAAUGGCUUACCAAGGCUAUGACGCUUAACUGGUCUGAGAGGAUGAUCAGUCACACUGGAACUGAGACACGGUCCAGACUCCUACGGGAGGCAGCAGUAGGGAAUAUUGCGCAAUGGGGGAAACCCUGACGCAGCAACGCCGCGUGGAGGAUGACACUUUUCGGAGCGUAAACUCCUUUUCUUAGGG